GAUGAACGCUGGCGGCGUGCCUAAUACAUGCAAGUAGAACGCUGAAGGAAGGAGCUUGCUCUUUCCGGAUGAGUUGCGAACGGGUGAGUAACGCGUAGGUAACCUGCCUGGUAGCGGGGGAUAACUAUUGGAAACGAUAGCUAAUACCGCAUAACAGUAGAUAUUGCAUGAUAUCUGCUUGAAAGGGGCAAUUGCUCCACUACCAGAUGGACCUGCGUUGUAUUAGCUAGUUGGUGAGGUAACGGCUCACCAAGGCGACGAUACAUAGCCGACCUGAGAGGGUGAUCGGCCACACUGGGACUGAGACACGGCCCAGACUCCUACGGGAGGCAGCAGUAGGGAAUCUUCGGCAAUGGACGGAAGUCCGACCGAGCAACGCCGCGUGAGUGAAGAAGGUUUUCGGAUCGUAAAGCUCUGUUGUAAGAGAAGAACGAGUGUGAGAGUGGAAAGUUCACACUGUGACGGAACUACCAGAAAGG
This 479-nucleotide ribosomal RNA is filed under the name Streptococcus australis. RNAcentral's name for it is "bacterial SSU rRNA". It matches the Rfam family "Bacterial small subunit ribosomal RNA", at positions 28 to 491 of the family's 1533-position model. Lineage: Bacteria; Bacillati; Bacillota; Bacilli; Lactobacillales; Streptococcaceae. The record is from RNAcentral.